AUACGGAGGGUGCGAGCGUUGUCCGGAUUUAUUGGGUUUAAAGGGUGCGUAGGUGGCUUUAUAAGUCAGUGGUGAAAUACGGUUGCUCAACAAUCGAGGUGCCAUUGAUACUGUAGAGCUUGAAACAAGUGGAGGUUGCCGGAAUGGAUGGUGUAGCGGUGAAAUGCAUAGAUAUCAUCCAGAACACCGAUUGCGAAGGCAGGUGACUACGUUUGAUUUGACACUGAGGCACGAAAGCAUGGGGAGCAAACAGGAUUAGAUACCCUGGUAGUCCAUGCCGUAAACGAUGAGGACUCGCUGUUGGCCUGUCAAGGGUCAGCGGCUUAGGGAAACCGUUAAGUCCUCCACCUGGGGAGUACGCCGGCAACGGUGAA
This 374-nucleotide ribosomal RNA is filed under the name uncultured bacterium. RNAcentral describes it as "bacterial SSU rRNA". It matches the Rfam family "Bacterial small subunit ribosomal RNA", at positions 523 to 898 of the family's 1533-position model. The record is from RNAcentral.